GGGGCUGAUUCUGGAUUCGACGGGAUUUGCGAAACCCAAGGUGCAUGCCGAGGGGCGGUUGGCCUCGUAAAAAGCCGCAAAAAAAUAGUCGCAAACGACGAAAACUACGCUUUAGCAGCUUAAUAACCUGCUUAGAGCCCUCUCUCCCUAGCCUCCGCUCUUAGGACGGGGAUCAAGAGAGGUCAAACCCAAAAGAGAUCGCGUGGAGGCCCUGCCUGGGGUUGAAGCGUUAAAACGAAUCAGGCUAGUCUGGUAGUGGCGUGUCCGUCCGCAGGUGCCAGGCGAAUGUAAAGACUGACUAAGCAUGUAGUACCGAG
RNAcentral lists this transfer-messenger RNA (317 nucleotides) under Salmonella enterica. Its description in RNAcentral is "partial transfer-messenger RNA". It matches the Rfam family "transfer-messenger RNA", at positions 1 to 327 of the family's 374-position model. Rfam says of the family: Bacterial tmRNA, also known as 10Sa RNA or SsrA, is named for its dual tRNA and mRNA-like properties. Its role is to liberate the mRNA from a stalled ribosome. RNAcentral also lists the same sequence under 1 other name. Lineage: Bacteria; Pseudomonadati; Pseudomonadota; Gammaproteobacteria; Enterobacterales; Enterobacteriaceae. The record is from RNAcentral.